This 425-nucleotide ribosomal RNA is filed under the name uncultured microorganism. RNAcentral describes it as "bacterial SSU rRNA". It matches the Rfam family "Bacterial small subunit ribosomal RNA", at positions 9 to 433 of the family's 1533-position model. The record is from RNAcentral.
GAGUUUGAUCGUGGCUCAGAUUGAACGCUGGCGGCAUGCCUUACACAUGCAAGUCGAACGGCAGCAUGAUCUAGCUUGCUAGAUUGAUGGCGAGUGGCGAACGGGUGAGUAAUACAUCGGAACGUGCCCUGUAGUGGGGGAUAACUAGUCGAAAGAUUAGCUAAUACCGCAUACGACCUGAGGGUGAAAGUGGGGGACCGCAAGGCCUCAUGCUAUAGGAGCGGCCGAUGUCUGAUUAGCUAGUUGGUGGGGUAAAGGCCCACCAAGGCGACGAUCAGUAGCUGGUCUGAGAGGACGAUCAGCCACACUGGGACUGAGACACGGCCCAGACUCCUACGGGAGGCAGCAGUGGGGAAUUUUGGACAAUGGGCGAAAGCCUGAUCCAGUAAUGCCGCGUGUGUGAAGAAGGCCUCGGUUGUAAGUAC